CCACUGGGGGCCUUCCUUAUGGGCUGCAGGGGAACUUCUGCUCCUGCACAUGGAGCACCUCCUGACCUCUUUCUGCACUGACCUUGGGGUCUGCAGGGCUGUUUCUCAAUCCUCUUUCCCAGCUGCUGUAGUGCAACACUUUUUCCUUUUCCUAAAUAUGCUCUCACAGUGGCGCAGCUAGCAGCACUCUCUGGCUUUGCUCUCACCAGUGGAAGGUCCCUUUGAGUCACCUGGAGUUGGCUCUAUGGGGCAGCUUGUGGACUCCUCUCACAGACGCUAUGUCUGCAGCCCUCCCCUACCAAAACCUUGCCAUAUAAACCAAAUACAUGGGUUUUAUAUGGAAUGCAGUUUAUUUUUAAUACUAAAAUGUUACAAAAACAUAUUCUAAAUAGCUUCACAAAUCCAGCUUGCUGCAGAGCAGAUCUCCAACACUCUCCAAGGUUUGUUUUAUCUCACCUAAUAUAAAUCAUCUAAACUAUUUUGAGAUAAGUAUCUAAGCUCCCCCUUAAUAUCUAUAGCAGACAUACCAAAAACAUCUAGAGGGCAAGUCAUCCCAGAGGAUUCUAAAUUAAAAAAUCUAUCCAGAAAAGAAAAAUCAGCUUUCAGAGAUGUUUGUCUCUUCAUUAACUACAAAAAAAAAAAAAAAAAAAAAAAAAAAAAAAAAAAAAUUAAAACUAUUCUAGACUAAACUAGUUGUCUAUCUAAUGGUUAGUUGAAUACGGUUGGAUGAGAUGGAUAUUAGAAAGAAACAGAAAGUCAAAUUAUCAGCACCUCAAAUUGAUAAAUAACGGUGCCCAGCCAGCUAUUGGUUGCCUUUCACUGUAGCCAGGCAAAUUUGAUUAAUUAUAAUUAAUUCAAUAAAAGACUGAGUCCUGCAGCUUAUUAAUAAUUUCAGAACCUGCAGGGUAACACUCAUACUGUGCUCAGUAUUGCCUGUCCACAUGUUGUAUAUUUACCACCACUCUUGUUAAAAGUUUAUCAUUGAAGAUGUGAGUGAACAGUUUUCCUCCUGAAAGGUCUUUGUGAAGGAUAAGUUCCUUCGUCUAGUGGUAAAACCACCAAGACAAGGCUAUGGAGAAAGCUAUUUCUUCAACACUGUCUUGAAAUUCAGUUCUGUAAUUAGCUUUGCUUACAGCUGUAUCUGAGAUCACUGGAAAAAAAAAAAAAAAAGGCUUUUGGCUUUUUGGAAAAAUCUCUAUGCUUCCUUUCCCUUUGUUCUUAGCAUGUUCAUCUGUUAAUCAUCCUAUGCAUUAUCAAUUCCACCCAAGGGCUGCGUGAGAACUGGAGAUUCAGAAAUUUUGACAAAAUCUGGGGGAGGUUGCACUGCAUACUGUCAAAAGGAGAGAAACAGAAUGAAUGAAAUCAAUUAAGAUGCCCCAGAGAAAUACUGUUUAAGGUGUAGAAUGGUAUCACAAUUACAAUCUAAAUAAAUGUAUGGCAGUAAGAUACUAAUCAUAUAUAAUGUAAAGAUUUCUAGAAUCAUGUUUUUCUGCAAGGAGAAACCUGUACCUAAAUGAACCACUAAUCUCCAUGUUAAGAGAAAAAAAGUGGAUACUUGUGAUGCUGUCCAGAAGACCACUGUAUAUGGAGGUGUUACACCGCCUCAGUGGCCUUGCCUUUAUAUAACCGUGCAGCACAAAGUUCACCCAAGAGCAUUGAUUCUGUUUGACUGUAUAAAUGAUAAAUAGAGCUUUUUUUCUUGUAAGAAAAUCCUGUAAUAGCUUGAAAGACCAAAAGGGGAUGAUAAUUGAUGGGGUCUGCAUGGUGUACUGCAAAUGGAUCAGAGUCCUGUUCAAUGCUACACAGCUCAGGGCUCCCAGCUUCUAAAAGGACAUAAGAUUAUCUGUGUUGUUCUGUUCUUAUAGCCUUAGUGCAAAUAAAUAGCACUUUAAAUGGUA
Long non-coding RNA from Oxyura jamaicensis (ruddy duck), 1898 nucleotides. RefSeq lists it as uncharacterized. The transcript is spliced from 2 exons. Lineage: Eukaryota; Metazoa; Chordata; Aves; Anseriformes; Anatidae. The record is from RefSeq and is a predicted model, not a curated record.